RNAcentral lists this small RNA (27 nucleotides) under Bombyx mori (domestic silkworm). RNAcentral's name for it is "ovarian small RNA-36455". The record is from RNAcentral. Lineage: Eukaryota; Metazoa; Arthropoda; Insecta; Lepidoptera; Bombycidae.
UUACAUUAUACGGGCAUCUUCAAGGGU